AUAGAACAUGAAAGAUAAAAUAAAGCUAAAGAAAAUAAAAUAAAAGAGAACAAAAAAUUAAAAUCAAAAUUUACUAAAAUAAAGGAAUUAAAUCCAUAUCUGACCAAAUGUCCAAAUAGCCUUAGUCAAUCCUAUUUAUACUUUGUCCAAUCAUCUUGAAACUUUUUAGAAUAUUUUUAAUGAUACAUCUUAUAUAAAUAACUAUCUUAAGUCUUUU
RNAcentral lists this long non-coding RNA (217 nucleotides) under Physcomitrium patens. Its description in RNAcentral is "long non-coding RNA (PPAT_LNC010824)". Lineage: Eukaryota; Viridiplantae; Streptophyta; Bryopsida; Funariales; Funariaceae. The record is from RNAcentral.